This 461-nucleotide ribosomal RNA is filed under the name uncultured beta proteobacterium. RNAcentral describes it as "bacterial SSU rRNA". It matches the Rfam family "Bacterial small subunit ribosomal RNA", at positions 200 to 642 of the family's 1533-position model. The record is from RNAcentral. Lineage: Bacteria; Pseudomonadati; Pseudomonadota; Betaproteobacteria.
AGGAAAGCAGGGGAUCGCAAGACCUUGCGCUUUUGGAGCGGCCGAUGUCUGAUUAGCUAGUUGGUGAGGUAAAGGCUUACCAAGGCUUCGAUCAGUAGCUGGUCUGAGAGGACGACCAGCCACACUGGGACUGAGACACGGCCCAGACUCCUACGGGAGGCAGCAGUGGGGAAUUUUGGACAAUGGGGGAAACCCUGAUCCAGCCAUGCCGCGUGAGUGAAGAAGGCCUUCGGGUUGUAAAGCUCUUUCAGCCGGAACGAAAAGGUUACGGUUAAUACCCGUGACUAAUGACGGUACCGGGAGAAGAAGCACCGGCUAACUACGUGCCAGCAGCCGCGGUAAUACGUAGGGUGCGAGCGUUAAUCGGAAUUACUGGGCGUAAAGCGUGCGCAGGCGGUUUUGUAAGUCAGAUGUGAAAUCCCCGGGCUCAACCUGGGAACUGCGUUUGAAACUACAAGGCU